CUCCAGUGUAUAUACUCCUCGUGGCUGAUAUCAAAUGGCGGCAUAUUGUAUAAUGUCAUCUCCAGAUGUACUAGCAACUAUAGAGGAUAAUACACUGGCCCUAGCCUUUAUAGCAAUGAUGAUAGUACAUGUUGGGAUAUCAGUAUACAAUGGAAUAAGGAACAAAGGGAGAGAGGACAAAAAA
Long non-coding RNA from Amphimedon queenslandica, 184 nucleotides. RefSeq lists it as uncharacterized. The transcript is spliced from 2 exons. NCBI's taxonomy places the organism in Eukaryota, Metazoa, Porifera, Demospongiae, Haplosclerida, Niphatidae. The record is from RefSeq and is a predicted model, not a curated record.